CCUACGGGCGGCUGCAGUGGGGAAUAUUGGACAAUGGGGGGAACCCUGAUCCAGCCAUGCCGCGUGUGUGAAGAAGGCCCUCGGGUUGUAAAGCACUUUCAGUGAGGAAGAACGCCUGGUGGUUAAUACCCAUCAGGAAAGACAUCACUCACAGAAGAAGCACCGGCUAACUCCGUGCCAGCAGCCGCGGUAAUACGGAGGGUGCGAGCGUUAACCGGAAUUACUGGGCGUAAAGCGCGCGUAGGUGGCUUGAUAAGCCGGUUGUGAAAGCCCCGGGCUCAACCUGGGAACGGCAUCCGGAACUGUCAAGCUAGAGUGCAGGAGAGGAAGGUAGAAUUCCCGGUGUAGCGGUGAAAUGCGUAGAGAUCGGGAGGAAUACCAGUGGCGAAGGCGGCCUUCUGGACUGACACUGACACUGAGGUGCGAAAGCGUGGGUAGCAAACAGGAUUAGAUACCCUAGUAGUC
This 465-nucleotide ribosomal RNA is filed under the name Vreelandella stevensii. Its description in RNAcentral is "partial 16S ribosomal RNA". It matches the Rfam family "Bacterial small subunit ribosomal RNA", at positions 338 to 795 of the family's 1533-position model. The record is from RNAcentral. Lineage: Bacteria; Pseudomonadati; Pseudomonadota; Gammaproteobacteria; Oceanospirillales; Halomonadaceae.